Molecule: ribosomal RNA, 253 nt
Filed under: uncultured bacterium
Lineage: Bacteria
Description: partial 16S ribosomal RNA
Rfam family: Bacterial small subunit ribosomal RNA
Source: RNAcentral
UACAGAGGGGGCAAGCGUUGUUCGGAAUUACUGGGCGUAAAGGGCUCGUAGGCGGCCAACUAAGUCAGACGUGAAAUCCCCAGGCUCAACCUGGGAACUGCGUCUGAUACUGGAUGGCUUGAAUCCGGGAGAGGGAUGCAGAAUUCCAGGUGUAGCGGUGAAAUGCGUAGAUAUGCGGAGGAACACCGAUGGCGAAGGCAAUCCCCUGGACCUGUACUGACGCUCAUGCACGAAAGCGUGGGGAGCAAACAGG